This 465-nucleotide ribosomal RNA is filed under the name uncultured bacterium. Its description in RNAcentral is "partial 16S ribosomal RNA". It matches the Rfam family "Bacterial small subunit ribosomal RNA", at positions 28 to 507 of the family's 1533-position model. The record is from RNAcentral.
GACGAACGCUGGCGGCGUGCUUAACACAUGCAAGUCGAACGGAAAGGCCCCUUUGGGGGUACUCGAGUGGCGUACGGGUGAGUAACACGUGAGUAACCUGCCCUUGACUUCGGGAUAACUUCAGGAAACUGGGGCUAAUACCGGAUAGGAAUCCUUGCUGCAUGGUGGGGGUUGGAAAGCUUCGGCGGUUUUGGAUGGACUCGCGGCUUAUCAGCUUGUUGGUGGGGUAGUGGCUUACCAAGGCUUUGACGGGUAGCCGGCCUGAGAGGGCGACCGGCCACAUUGGGACUGAGAUACGGCCCAGACUCCUACGGGAGGCAGCAGUGGGGAAUAUUGCACAAUGGGUGGAAGCCUGAUGCAGCAACGCCGCGUGCGGGAUGACGGCCUUCGGGUUGUAAACCGAUUUCAGCAGGGGCGAAGCUUGUGGUGACGGUACCUGCAGAAGAAGCACCGGCUAACUACGUG